RNAcentral lists this long non-coding RNA (2301 nucleotides) under Struthio camelus australis. RNAcentral's name for it is "lncRNA (ENSSCUG00000004508.1)". The record is from RNAcentral. Lineage: Eukaryota; Metazoa; Chordata; Aves; Struthioniformes; Struthionidae.
UGGCUGUGGUGUAAGCUGUGCAAUGAGCAUAUUUUAUAUUCUCUUUAGAUAUAGUGCAAACGAUGGAAAUUGAUCCCUGCAAGCACUUCUUCCCGAUGGUGGUGUUGGAGCCCACGAGUCUUUGGGCCUGAUGCUUUUCUCAAAGACGUGUCACUACUUCAGUGGAGUGUGUCCUCACGAGACCAUGAGGACAGCAAAGAAGCGAAUUCUGUUUUUUGCAUAUGAGAGACCUUUCCCCUGAUCACCUGUAAAACAACAGAUUUGAAUAUCCAUUUUCUGACAUCGAGAGGAUGGCUGUGUUAAAAUUAAAAGUUAUCACAGAACAGGAAAGACAGCAAAGGAAUAAGGUACUUUCCAUAAACUUGUGAUCUUUUUCUUAGCCCCAGCUGAACAUAGCAUUUUAGAAUCCAAGAUUUAUCAUCAUUGGAAACAAGGAGCUGUCUCAUUUCACUGGCACGAGAGGAAAGGUCUUAGUCACAAAAUGCUGUAGAGAUCAUUUCUAUUGUUUCUGUGGUUUCUGGGCAGGUAUAAAAGAAGGUGAAAGACACCCGCUGUCAUUGCAACUGGAACGUCAGUAGAAAACUAGCAAGGAGACACAUCUGUGCCGCUCAGGACUUCACCGUGAUCUCUAGAAGAUCGACAAUUUAAAGAAGAAGAGAGAAAAUGUUCCUGCCUCAGAGAUCUCUGAAGAUGGUUACAUUUUUGGCACUUCUUUUUCUUUCCUCUUUUGCAACAUCUCAAGACACUGAAAAUAAAAGAGCAGUGACGGAGCAUCAGCUCAUGCAUGACAAAGGGAGGGCAUUUCAAGGGCUGAAGCGCCUGACCUGGCUCCACAAUGCCCUGGGUAGUGUGCACACAGCCAGCAGCAGGGAUAUUUCGCUUUCAAAUGCCAUGGGGGAUUCUCAGAAGAGCCGAGAUCCCUCAGAUCUCCACAACAGCAUCAGCAGAGCCGAGACUUCAAGCCUGAUGAAGCAGCUGCUGGACGCGAUGGAAAAAGAGCAAGGCUUCAUCCUGUUAAAGAAGCCAGAUUUACUGCAAUAUAUGAAGACCCCAAAGGGUAACUGGAACCCACAAGACCUUUUGGACCUCCUUCAAAUCAAAGAGCUGGGCAGCAAGAGAAAUCCUAGCGCCCAGCCAGCAAACUUUUCACACUAGUCUGAAUCCAGCUCAGUCUGUCCAUCGCUUUAGGCGUGCGAUGUUGUGAGGAAAAGCUCUAAUGCAAGGGUGAAACACAAAAGAAAAAUAACGUUCAUUUGUUCCGUUAACUACUCCUAGAUGCUGAAUAGAGAGAGCCUCAUAAGGACCUAAGUUCUCUCCCUAACAGGCAGUCUGAAUAGUGUGACUGUGAGAUGGGGUGAUUUUUCACAGGCCAGAAAUAUCUCUUUCCAUGACAGGGUCUUCCCUGUCUGUUACUGGUAUCUUAAGGUUGUGACAGCUCUUUGCAGCUCUUGUAGUCCAGGCAUAACAGGAAGUUUGGUUCAUGAAUCUGCAUAUUCACAGGUUCAUUUGCAGUCUAAUGUUUUGCCUCCUAAAGAAGCAGUGACUGCUAAUACAGAUUUUCUUCUAUUUCCAUCCUGCCUGCCAUUCUGCCACUUUCUGCAGUAGUAAUAACUUUACUUAGGCUUUAGGCCCUAAGGUUCAUAAUUUUCCUGCUUUUUAAGCAUCUAGAAUGUUUUAGGAAGUCUCUCAUCUCUCGGUUUUUCCUUUAGGACGGUGGCAAACUUUCAUCAGGCCACAGAGGUAGAAAUUGGCAGCUGAUCCCCACCACUCCCAGCCUAAGCCCUAGACAGUCAUCUUGUUCUGCUGAUGGAAGAGUGAUGAGAAUCAGCUUCCAGCCUCCAUACUCGAGCCUUUUGUGUCAAGACGUCCUAUCUUUUCCUUUUUCCCAUGAAACUCUCUCGAAGAGCUCCCAAAGCAUACCACAUUUUCUAGGUGGAAAACCAACUUCAUGAGGCCAUUUGUGUUUCCUGAAAGAGAAAUAGAUGCCACAAGAUUUUGUUUUGCUAUUCUCCUUUAACGUCAAACUGGCCAGCUCUGUCUUGCAAAGCAAGGUCCAGUUUAGUUGCAAAAUCAGUCUUUCAGAAAUGAAAUAUCUAUUUCUUGUGUUACAAAUACAUCAGCAUUUCCAUCAUGUAGGGACCGUACAUGACACUUUCAUUCCUGAAAUUCCUCUGCUGCUGCUAGACUUCAAUAGCAUGUGCAGAGAGUAUUUCUCAGUGCUGUGAUUUAUACCCAACAAGUCCUUGAUGUUGUUAAAGAAAUAAUAAUAAAAACCCUUUCACACUCUCUAUUGUACUUGUU